RNAcentral lists this ribosomal RNA (492 nucleotides) under uncultured bacterium. RNAcentral's name for it is "partial 16S ribosomal RNA". It matches the Rfam family "Bacterial small subunit ribosomal RNA", at positions 29 to 507 of the family's 1533-position model. The record is from RNAcentral.
AGUGAACGCUGGCGGUAGGCCUAACACAUGCAAGUCGAACGGCAGCACAGUAAGAGCUUGCUCUUACGGGUGGCGAGUGGCGGACGGGUGAGGAAUACAUCGGAAUCUACUUUUUCGUGGGGGAUAACGUAGGGAAACUUACGCUAAUACCGCAUACGACCUACUGGUGAAAGCAGGGGAUCUUCGGACCUUGCGCGAUUGAAUGAGCCGAUGUCGGAUUAGCUAGUUGGCGGGGUAAAGGCCCACCAAGGCGACGAUCCGUAGCUGGUCUGAGAGGAUGAUCAGACACACUGGAACUGAGACACGGUCCAGACUCCUACGGGAGGCAGCAGUGGGGAAUAUUGGACAAUGGGCGAAAGCCUGAUCCAGCCAUACCGCGUGGGUGAAGAAGGCCUUCGGGUUGUAAAGCCCUUUUGUUGGGAAAGAAAAGCAGCAGGUUAAUACCCCGCUGUUAUGACGGUACCCAAAGAAUAAGCACCGGCUAACUUCGUG